Molecule: unclassified non-coding RNA, 245 nt
Filed under: uncultured Cortinarius
Lineage: Eukaryota; Fungi; Basidiomycota; Agaricomycetes; Agaricales; Cortinariaceae
Description: sequence contains ITS1
Source: RNAcentral
UUGAAAUAAACCUGAUAAGUUGUUGCUGGUUCUCUAGGGAACACUGUGCACACUUGUCAUCUUUAUAUCUCUCCACCUGUGCACCUUUUGUAGACCUGGAUAUUUAUCCGAGUGCUUGCACUUGGGAUUGAGGAUUGACUUUAUUGUCUCUGCCUUACAUUUUCAGGUCUAUGUUUUCAUCAUAUACCCUUAACGUAUGUUAUAGAAUGUAAUAUAUAUGGGCCUUUGUGCCUAUAAAAACUAUA